RNAcentral lists this ribosomal RNA (547 nucleotides) under Saccharomyces cerevisiae (brewer's yeast). RNAcentral describes it as "partial large subunit ribosomal RNA". It matches the Rfam family "Eukaryotic large subunit ribosomal RNA", at positions 87 to 648 of the family's 3401-position model. The record is from RNAcentral. Lineage: Eukaryota; Fungi; Ascomycota; Saccharomycetes; Saccharomycetales; Saccharomycetaceae.
CGGCGAGUGAAGCGGCAAAAGCUCAAAUUUGAAAUCUGGUACCUUCGGUGCCCGAGUUGUAAUUUGGAGAGGGCAACUUUGGGGCCGUUCCUUGUCUAUGUUCCUUGGAACAGGACGUCAUAGAGGGUGAGAAUCCCGUGUGGCGAGGAGUGCGGUUCUUUGUAAAGUGCCUUCGAAGAGUCGAGUUGUUUGGGAAUGCAGCUCUAAGUGGGUGGUAAAUUCCAUCUAAAGCUAAAUAUUGGCGAGAGACCGAUAGCGAACAAGUACAGUGAUGGAAAGAUGAAAAGAACUUUGAAAAGAGAGUGAAAAAGUACGUGAAAUUGUUGAAAGGGAAGGGCAUUUGAUCAGACAUGGUGUUUUGUGCCCUCUGCUCCUUGUGGGUGGGGGAAUCUCGCAUUUCACUGGGCCAGCAUCAGUUUUGGUGGCAGGAUAAAUCCAUAGGAAUGUAGCUUGCCUCGGUAAGUAUUAUAGCCUGUGGGAAUACUGCCAGCUGGGACUGAGGACUGCGACGUAAGUCAAGGAUGCUGGCAUAAUGGUUAUAUGCCGC